ACGUAGAGCGUCCUAAAAUGCAAGUCGUACACUUGUAAAGUGUGGCGGACGGGUGAGUAACGCGUAGGAACCUGCCUCAAUCCGGGAAAUACCCCACCGAAAGGUGGGCUAAUGUCCCAUGAGCUCUCCGGAGCAAAGCUACGGCGGAUUGAGAGGGGCCUGCGUCCUAUCAGCUUGUUGGUGAGGUAAUUGCUCACCAAGGCUAUGACGGGUAGCUGGUCUGAGAGGAUGAUCAGCCACAACGGCACUGAGACACGGGCCGUACACCUACGGGUGGCAGCAGUUAGGAAUCGUACACAAUGGGCGAAAGCCUGAUGUCGUGACGCCGCGUGGAGGAUGAAGGUUCUCGGAUUGUAAACUCCUUUUUUAUGGGAAGAUUAUUGACUGUACCAUAAGAAUAAGCAUCGGCUAACUACGUGCCAGAAGCCUCGGUAAUACGUAGGAUGCGAGCGUUAUCCGGAAUUAUUGGGCGUAAAGAGCGCGUAGGCGGACAUGUAAGUCUGAUCUUAAAUCCCAUGGCCCAACCAUGGUGUCGGAUUGGAUACUGCAUGCCUUGAGUAUUUGCAGGGGCAAGCGGAAUCUGCGGUGUAGGAGUAAAAUCCAUUGAUAUCGCAGAGAACACCAAUGGCGAAGGCAGCUUGCUAGGCACUCACUGACGCUGAGGCGCGAAAGCGUGGGUAGCGAACGGGAUUAGAUACCCCGGUAGUCCACGCCGUAAACGAUGCAAACUAGGUAUUGGAAUUAUCGACCGUUCUGUACCGAAGCUAACGCGUUAAGUUUGCCGCCUGGGGGAGUACGCCGCAGGACUA
RNAcentral lists this ribosomal RNA (809 nucleotides) under uncultured bacterium. RNAcentral's name for it is "bacterial SSU rRNA". It matches the Rfam family "Bacterial small subunit ribosomal RNA", at positions 46 to 896 of the family's 1533-position model. The record is from RNAcentral.